GAAUGGGGAUGAAGGAAGACCUCCAAAGAAAAUAGUUGGUUCUGGUGAGGUAGACUGGCAGAAGUUCGGCUACAGCUUGGGUCUCAGUGAGAGGUAGGAAGUUUGGAGAUGAUGAUGGGUUGGUGACUAUAGGCUCUGAACCAGUAUUAUGGGAUUCUUCUGCCAUGGUCAAUCAAUCGGAUUGGUCUGCACACGAAAACAUAAAAUUUGUUAUUCAUGCAUGUAAAUUCACAAGUUCAUAACCAAGAACAUAAGAACCAGCCAACACACAGGAAUUUCAUCAAUAAUCAAUCAACUGGAAAUUAUUUCAUAAACUAGAGUUUACUCCUCCCGAGCUAACCUGGAGAAGAUUAGAAACACAUUGGUUUAAUUAUUAGAGAGAAAUCAACAGAAAUAAAGGCAUUAUACAUGGAAGAAUAGAGAAGAGGAAAACCUGAGGUACGAAUCUAUCUAUGUUCUUCACCGUCUGUCGAAUUCUGUUGUGGUUCCUUGAAUCUUAAGUCGUACGUCCUUUUUAUAGUGAUUUCUUGCGGAGUACUCCUUGUAUGCAUGGAGCUAUAAUUCUUGUACUUCUCGUAUUCUAUCUCUUAUAUUUCCUGGAUUCCUAUGCAACUACGAUUCUUAUGUUUAGGAGAACUUUUAUUUGUACGUACCACAUUUAAACUGUUCGCACUUUAUUUUAUUUUAUUAUUAUUAUUAUUUUAAUAAAAGUAGCUCUUUACCAUAGUGGUGAAAAGAUGUUGUGUCAUUACAUAACAGUGUGGAUUCGAACCCCGUUGGUGACUAAUCUAAUACCUAACUUACUAAUGCUAUUGCUCGACUCAAAAAAAAAAAAAAAAAAACUAUUUUAGCCACAUGCAAUGCAUGUACUUAAUUUAAUUAUCAGAAACUCAUUUCCGCAAAAAGAAGAAAAUUAGUAGUUGCAGAUAUAAAGUAGGGAAAAACCAAUCUUUCAAUAUUAAAGAGUCCUUUUUCUAGUACUGUUUUUCUUAUCGUCCAAGCGAAAGUAGACAAAUCCUUACCCAACUCCCCCUGCAUCUCAUUAUACCUAUACUAAAACCAUUGCUCUUGGUUCUGUAAUUUUGUCCUCCUUUGUACAGCGAAAGGAUGACUUCGUCCUCACUCUACACGCGUUCUUUAUCGCGGCCUUUUCUGUUCCAUUUCUCUGCUGUUUUGUUCUCUACCUUUCGUUUUGCUUUUCUGUCGCCAUUUCCUGCAAUCGAUUUUUUUUUUCUACCCCACAUCUACACGUGUUGGUCAUCGGGGAAAAGAAAGCGGUGGAAAGGCGAGGAAAGCAGUCGGAAAAGCUCAUUUGUUUCUAUUCACUGAUCUCAGAAGGGGUAUCCCUUCCAUUCGCCAUUCUCGAGUUCUCUUGAUGGCAUCUUCUCUACCCUAUCUUCUGCAAUUUGCUCCACCGCGGCAAUACCUUUUGUGCUUUCUUCCACCCCAUAGAACCCGCUCGAUUUAGAUUCUGGGUCUUGUGAUUUUUGAUAAUCUUCCAUGGUAACUAACUUUUGUUUGUUUUGGUUGGUCUAAAUUUCAAAUUUUUUGUUUUGGCUUGCUGCACAUGAUAUGAGAUUUGUUGAUGCACAAAACCAGAGGUCUUGGAACAACGUGAAUCUGCAAGUAAUGUAAAUGACACAAGAUGUAUCGUGGUUCACCCCAAGGUUUGGGCUACGUCCACACUGAUUGUAUUGUAUUUCUCUGAGAAGUGAGGGAGAGAGUGUGAGAGCUUUUUUCUAGAUAGGAGAGGCUUAAGGUUUGUGAGGGUGAGGAGGCCAUUUUAUAGAAUAAGGGCUCAUCCCCUAAUUACAUAUUUGCCCCUUCCUUUAUUACAUAAUUACAUUUAAGUCCCCCCAGUAUUCAUACGAGGUCUAAAUAUGAGGCCCUAAAUAUGGUAUAAACAGUAGUCCCCCAAGUCUUCAGUCAAGAGAGUCUUUUGGCUGGAGACUUGAAAUUCAGUCCAUGUAUGGGCCGAAGUAACUAGAUGUUGUCUUGAACUGAUGCUCGAUAUGAGGCAGUGCUCAAUUUGAAAUGACGCUCAACUAGAAGUAGCACAUGCUGCGAGGUUGCUCGGCUCGUGGCUUAUGUUGCCUUGGUUGGCUCGGCUUGCGGCGUUUGAAGGUGAGGGGGUCCCUUUUAUAGAAUAAGGGCUCGCUCCUCAAAUACAUAAAUGAUGGGCUAGAAGUGAUGCUCGCGGCGAGGCGGUUGCUCAGCUAGUGGUGUUGCUCUCUAAUGAUGGUGAGGGAGUCCCUUUUAUAGAAUAAGGGUUCGAUCCUCAAUACAUAAACAAUGAGUGUUCUCUAAUGAAAGUGAGGGAGUCCCUUUUAUAGAAUAAGGGCUCGCUCCUCAAUACAUAAGUAAUGGGCUAAGUCCCCUAAGUAUUUUUCAUGAGGCCCAAUAUAUGGUACAUAAUGUAGUCCCCCAAGUCUUCGGUCAAUAGAGUCUAUUGGCUGGAGACUUCAAAUUGAAUCCAUGUAUGGGCCGAAGUGGUGGUUGUUCAGAGGCAGUAUUUGUAUACCCUGCACUGAAGCUUUGUAGGUGAAGCUUUGCAAGUGAAACUUUGAAGCUAGAGCUCUGUAAAUGAAGCUUUUGAAGCUGAUUGACAUGAGU
Molecule: long non-coding RNA, 2613 nt
Filed under: Malus domestica (apple)
Lineage: Eukaryota; Viridiplantae; Streptophyta; Magnoliopsida; Rosales; Rosaceae
Description: long non-coding RNA (MDOM_LNC008084)
Source: RNAcentral